CUGGGCGCCCUAUGAGCGGCGGGGCGGGGCGCGCAGGAGACGGCUGCGCUGCGCUGCGGGCGAGUAGGUCGGGGCCAUGGCGGAGAGCGACUGGGACACGGUCACGGUGCUGCGCAAGAAGGGGCCGAGCGCGGCCCAGGCCAAGUCCAAGCAGGCAAUCUUAGCAGCGCAGAGAAGAGGAGAAGAUGUAGAGACCUCCAAGAAAUGUAGGUAUUUCUGUCUGGGGGGUGGGUAGGGAAGGCCAGUUUCAUGUUUUCCUUUAACUUCCUGGUAACCCCUGUCACGGCUUAAGGGUUAACUGCACACACACCCCAGUCUUCCUCAAGGAUACCCACUUCAGAUUUCUGGCUCCUAGCUGUUGCCUCUCUCAGGCAGGGAUGCUUCUCUCUUCCCCCAGACAGGGGAUUUAGGCUUUUUGCAGUACCUCUGUGUUUAACCUUUCUGCAGGGGUUACAACAGUGUGUACUAGUUACAAAGCAAAUUGCAUUGAAUAGUAGGGUGAAAGCAUUACAGAGGGAACAUGUUAAACAAAUAAAAGUUCCCAUAUGCAUGGUAAAAGCUUACCAAAGGUCACUUUUCAUCCUAGGCGGCCCUAAUAAGCCAAAGUCUUUCCAACCCUUCUGCAAGGGUUCCCUCCCGUCUGCUCUAUUAGGCAGAAGGUCGUGGCCAUUUGUUGAAUUAGAAAGAAGACUCCCCGUGUCAGUUUAAUCUCAGGUUUUUUUAUGCCAAAAACCUUUCAUUGUCUGUCUGGUCUCUGGAAAACCCAAUUUGAACCGUUAUAUGCCAACCUCCCCAGGGGGUGAUACCUCUCUGGAGGUGUUUGCAUCCUGAGUGAUUCACCUUAAUUCCACUGGCCACCACACUGAUGAUUGGUGGUGGGUGGGAGGCACUGGGAGGGAGGGGGAGUUGCUGAUCAGCCAGACUAUCUCCCCCCCCCCCCCCCCCCCCAUGGAUAUUCCAGCCCUGGAGCACCCACAGAGUUGGCACCUGUGCUUUUACACUGCUCUGACUGUGUGAAGUGGACUCUUUCAGUGGAUAUAAACAUCACUUGCUCCUAAAUCAAGGCCCCUCUAUGCUUAUUGAAUUAUGUAAAAAGGACUUGGUCUAAAUGAGAAUCGGGUUCUGUAUCUUUUUAAAAAUAGACUUGCUUUUACAUAAAUUAAUUCAUUUAUGUAUUUUGCAUUUACAAAACUAUAAAAACAGAUAAAGCCUUUUUUGGGAAAUUACCAAAAAUAUAAUUUGGGCUAAAAUUCUUUAAUCCAAAAAUGCAGCCUGGAGCAAAUAUCUAAAAGAUAAGAUCCUAGUGGCUGAUGUAUAUAAAAUAGAACUGUUAGAGUCUUUAA
Long non-coding RNA from Trachemys scripta elegans, 1343 nucleotides. RefSeq lists it as uncharacterized. The transcript has 2 exons. Lineage: Eukaryota; Metazoa; Chordata; Testudines; Emydidae. The record is from RefSeq and is a predicted model, not a curated record.